Long non-coding RNA from Gossypium arboreum, 782 nucleotides. RefSeq lists it as uncharacterized. The record is from RefSeq and is a predicted model, not a curated record. The transcript is spliced from 2 exons. NCBI's taxonomy places the organism in Eukaryota, Viridiplantae, Streptophyta, Magnoliopsida, Malvales, Malvaceae.
UCAAUCUACGAAUAAAGUAAUCAUAAAUGGGAUUAAUGUGUAAUGCGCAUUAACAUAUAGGGACUAGAAUGGAGAAUUGUCCAGGCCCCAAAGCAUAAUGUUGCGGUGCAGAUCCAAUUGCAAAAAUGCGCAAAUGUUAGGGAAAAUUUUAAAAAACUGGUAAGUUGCAAUUAGGGGCUAAUCAGAAUGCAACACAAAAGGAGAGGGACUUGAUGCAAAAAAAACCCCUUUUGAGCGCAAAAACGAGGAUCCGGGUCUUUUGGACGGGCUGACGCGCGGGUUGCUCCUUCCUAAAGCUGUACCGUUUCAUUAUUUACCCAAAAUUUAAAGGAAAUUGAAUGGCUAUUUAACCAUUCCUUCCAAACGCAAGCCAAACACCCAAUUUAUUUAGGGUUUUGACUCAGCAGCCUUUAAUUUCUAAGGCUAUUUCAGCACCAGUACACCAUUAAAAUUGGUGAGGUGUAUAGAAACAGCCUUUAUUUCAAUUGAAAUCAACACUUCAAAGACCAUUUUCAUUUGUGAAUACGCAUUUCUAUCCCCGAUUUCAACGGAGAAGUCAAGGGAUCUCAUCAAUGCAUUUAGCAAAGGCUCGGUUGUACAGUGGAGUGGAGAGACGUGCGAAGGAGGCCAUGUGAGGAGUCACUCGUGGGAGCCCUAACUCUCUUGCUUAUUCUGGCACGUUCCAGAAGCUUCCAGUGCUACUGAGAUAUUUUUGGGUGUAUUGGGCCUGGGGUAAUGGGUUAUUUGGGCUAUUUUAUAAAAGAACUUGGACUUUGAUUUAA